RNAcentral lists this transfer RNA (70 nucleotides) under Microcebus rufus (brown mouse lemur). RNAcentral describes it as "tRNA-Phe". It matches the Rfam family "tRNA". Rfam says of the family: Transfer RNA (tRNA) molecules are approximately 80 nucleotides in length. Their secondary structure includes four short double-helical elements and three loops (D, anti-codon, and T loops). Lineage: Eukaryota; Metazoa; Chordata; Mammalia; Primates; Cheirogaleidae. RNAcentral also lists the same sequence under 3 other names. The record is from RNAcentral.
GUUAAUGUAGCUUAAAUUAUACAAAGCAAGGCACUGAAAAUGCCUAGAUGAGUUUUUUACUCCAUAAACA